This 433-nucleotide ribosomal RNA is filed under the name uncultured bacterium. RNAcentral describes it as "partial 16S ribosomal RNA". It matches the Rfam family "Bacterial small subunit ribosomal RNA", at positions 29 to 507 of the family's 1533-position model. The record is from RNAcentral.
AACGAACGCUGGCGGCAUGCCUAACACAUGCAAGUCGAACGAGACCUUCGGGUCUAGUGGCGCACGGGUGCGUAACGCGUUGGAACCUGCCCUUAGGUUCGGAAUAACUCCCCGAAAGGGGUGCUAAUACCGGAUAAUGUCUUCGGACCAAAGAUUUAUCGCCUUUGGAUGGGCCCGCGUUGGAUUAGCUAGUUGGUAGGGUAAAAGCCUACCAAGGCGACGAUCCAUAGCUGGUCUGAGAGGAUGAUCAGCCACACUGGGACUGAGACACGGCCCAGACUCCUACGGGAGGCAGCAGUGGGGAAUAUUGGCCAAUGGGCGAAAGCCUGAUCCAGCAAUGCCGCGUGAGUGAUGAAGGCCUUAGGGUUGUAAAGCUCUUUUACCCGGGAUGAUAAUGACAGUACCGGGAGAAUAAGCUCCGGCUAACUCCGUG